Magnolia sinica is the source of this 1350-nucleotide long non-coding RNA. RefSeq lists it as uncharacterized. NCBI's taxonomy places the organism in Eukaryota, Viridiplantae, Streptophyta, Magnoliopsida, Magnoliales, Magnoliaceae. The record is from RefSeq and is a predicted model, not a curated record. The transcript is spliced from 3 exons.
GACAUCUCCUUGAAAACAGAAAUGAAUAUGUAACUUCUCUUUCCCACCGAGGCCAUUUUAAACCUCCACACCUCUUAAAUGGGGAUGGCCACAGGCAGCAGCCCAGGUGGUCCACCUUGCUCCCAGGCCUGGCCUGCCAUGUCCCAUGUUCCGCCUUGCUUUUAGGCUUGUAUGUCCACUCAGGGCUGAAUUUGGGCCUCAUAUAAAGAGCUUGCCCAGAUUCUAUAUCUUUCGUUCAAGCCUGGGCCAAGCUAAGAGGUGCAAGGCUGUUUAUAUGACUGUGAUCUCUCCACAUGCUGACCCAUGCAUAGUAAAUAUUUUGAAUUGGCUUUUCAUCUGAAUAUUCAAGGCCUGUUUCAAGAUAGCUGUGGUAAAUGUGUCUACUGGCAAGGAGCCUCAUAAGCCACAUUGGUCAAAUGUCCUCCAUGCAGUAGUCAGGCACUUGCCAAAACCAUUGAUCAGUUGAUCAUGGAAUUUUGGCAUGUUUAUUGCAGAUUGUUGAGUUGCUUGCUCCUUAAAUGUGGACUGUUACUUUGCCAUUGCUCACCUUUUGCACCAUCAGUCCAUCUGUUGACAGGCAGCUGUUUGGAUUACUGGGAUUAUCUCAACUGUCAUGAUUUUUUGGGAAGCGGAUUGGGUACUACCUCUGCCAUUCCUUCUCUAGGAAUGGACAGGGCUUUGAGGCCACCAUGAUGUAUGGGUUUUAUCCACACCGUCCAUCCAUUUUGCCAUAUCAUUUUAGGGUACAAGCCCAAAAAUGGGCGGUUCCAAGGCUCAAGUGGAUCACACAGUGGGGAUUAAACACCUACUAUUGAAAACUUUUUGGGGGCCACAAAAGUUUUGGAUUAAGCUGAUAUUUAUGUUUUCCCUUCGUCCAGGUCUAUGUGACCUUAUGAACAGGUUAGAUGGCAAUUAACCAUCACGGUGGGCCCUGGGAAGGUUUCAACGGUGGGUCUCAUUAUCAUUGCUUCUUCCUAUGGUGUGGUCGACUUGACCCUUGGAUCUGCCUCAUUUUUGGGCUUGCAGCCUAAAAUGAUAUGGCAAAAUGGAUGCACUAUGGAUAAAACCCAUACAUCAUGGUGGCCCAAGUCAAGAUAAGAUUGCUGAUUUUGAGAUGAAGCCCAUGGACAUUGACAAUGAGCAUCUUGGAAUUCUAGAAGCAGAGUAUCAUGCCAUUGUAAAGAUGCCAUCAAAUGCUUAAUUGCCAUAAAAACCAUGGUGAAGUUGGAUAAAGCACUGGUAGAACCGGGUGGUGGGUCUUGCCUUUGCGGCAUUGCAACGGUGUAGGUGAUGUGUGGGUGUUGCAAUGUCAAUGCGGUGGAUGGGGUCUGGCCUUGGUGAAGUUGUUAU